This 301-nucleotide ribosomal RNA is filed under the name uncultured bacterium. Its description in RNAcentral is "partial 16S ribosomal RNA". It matches the Rfam family "Bacterial small subunit ribosomal RNA", at positions 509 to 807 of the family's 1533-position model. The record is from RNAcentral.
CAGUAGCCGCGGUAAAACGGAGGGCGCGAGCGUUACCCGGAUUUACUGGGCGUAAAGGGCGUGUAGGCGGCCUGGGGCGUCCCAUGCGAAAGGCCACGGCUCAACCGUGGAGGAGCGUGGGAUACGCUCAGGCUAGAGGGUGGGAGAGGGUGGUGGAAUUCCCGGAGUAGCGGUGAAAUGCGCAGAUACCGGGAGGAACGCCGAUGGCGAAGGCAGCCACCUGGUCCACUUCUGACGCUGAGGCGCGAAAGCGUGGGGAGCAAACCGGAUUAGAUACCCGCGUAGUCCCUGUCUCUUAUAC